CCUACGGGUGGCAGCAGUGGGGAAUAUUGCACAAUGGGGGAAACCCUGAUGCAGCGACGCCGCGUGAGUGAAGAAGUAUCUCGGUACGUAAAGCUCUAUCAGCAGGGAAGAAAAUGACGGUACCUGACUAAGAAGCCCCGGCUAACUACGUGCCAGCAGCCGCGGUAAUACGUAGGGGGCAAGCGUUAUCCGGAUUUACUGGGUGUAAAGGGAGCGUAGACGGCAGCACAAGUCUGGAGUGAAAUCCCGGGGCUUAACCCCGGAACUGCUUUGGAAACUGUGCGGCUGGAGUGCAGGAGGGGUAAGCGGAAUUCCUAGUGUAGCGGUGAAAUGCGUAGAUAUUAGGAGGAACAUCAGUGGCGAAGGCGACUAUCUGGACAGCAACUGACACUGAGGCACGAAAGCGUGGGGAGCAAACAGGAUUAGAUACCCGGGUAGUC
This 440-nucleotide ribosomal RNA is filed under the name uncultured bacterium. RNAcentral describes it as "partial 16S ribosomal RNA". It matches the Rfam family "Bacterial small subunit ribosomal RNA", at positions 338 to 795 of the family's 1533-position model. The record is from RNAcentral.